AGGAGAAGUGAUCCGGGGAUCUACAACAUCACAGACAUGUCUAAAUCUCAACGGUCCGAUCUGGGGCUCUAGUCUCGAGUUUUACUCACCUCACCACUUUGAACUCAUCACGGUAGCUACGCUACCGUCUUCGCUACCAACUAAAUCGGUAGUGUCGACCAUACGAAAACGAUCAGUGAGAUAGAACACGAUACCGUUCUAUCAACACGAUAUUACUAAGAAUGAUGGGAUACUAAGUGAGUGAUCUGGGUUGAGGUUAAACUGUUACAACCAAUCAAAUCCCAACUUAUUCAACAAAACAUCCGUUCCACGUGCUAGUGAAUCGUUUACACGAGUUUGAGACAAGAUGGACCAUACCCAAGUUUCUUUAAAUAAAAAAAUAACAGAAGAACAAAAAGAUAUCAUGAUUUCUUAUAUAGAAAUUAAUAGAAACAUGAACACAGGAAAAUUAGAUAGAUCUUUUACAAAGCAAGAUCUUAAUAAUUUGUGGAAAGACCUAUCAGAAAAAUUAAAUUCAUGUAUAGGAGCAAAAAAAUCAGUAAUGGAUUGGAG
RNAcentral lists this long non-coding RNA (552 nucleotides) under Androctonus crassicauda. The record is from RNAcentral. Lineage: Eukaryota; Metazoa; Arthropoda; Arachnida; Scorpiones; Buthidae.